AACGAACGCUGGCGGCAUGCCUAACACAUGCAAGUCGAACGAGACCUUCGGGUCUAGUGGCGCACGGGUGCGUAACGCGUGGGAACCUGCCCUUAGGUUCGGAAUAACUCCCCGAAAGGGGUGCUAAUACCGGAUAAUGUCUUCGGACCAAAGAUUUAUCGCCUUUGGAUGGGCCCGCGUUGGAUUAGCUAGUUGGUAGGGUAAAAGCCUACCAAGGCGACGAUCCAUAGCUGGUCUGAGAGGAUGAUCAGCCACACUGGGACUGAGACACGGCCCAGACUCCUACGGAGGGCAGCAGUGGGGAAUAUUAGACAAUGGGCGAAAGCCUGAUCCAGCAAUGCCGCGUAAGUGAGGAAGGCCUUAGGGUUGUAAAGCUCUUUUACCCGGGAUGAUAAUGACAGUACCGGGAGAAUAAGCACCGGCUAACUCCGUG
RNAcentral lists this ribosomal RNA (433 nucleotides) under uncultured bacterium. Its description in RNAcentral is "partial 16S ribosomal RNA". It matches the Rfam family "Bacterial small subunit ribosomal RNA", at positions 29 to 507 of the family's 1533-position model. The record is from RNAcentral.